UGGGGAAUAUUGGACAAUGGGCGAAAGCCUGAUCCAGCCAUGCCGCGUGUGUGAAGAAGGUCUUCGGAUUGUAAAGCACUUUAAGUUGGGAGGAAGGGCAGUUACCUAAUACGUGAUGGUUUUGACGUUACCGACAGAAUAAGCACCGGCUAACUCUGUGCCAGCAGCCGCGGUAAUACAGAGGGUGCAAGCGUUAAUCGGAAUUACUGGGCGUAAAGCGCGCGUAGGUGGUUUGUUAAGUUGGAUGUGAAAUCCCCGGGCUCAACCUGGGAACUGCAUUCAAAACUGACUGACUAGAGUAUGGUAGAGGGUGGUGGAAUUUCCUGUGUAGCGGUGAAAUGCGUAGAUAUAGGAAGGAACACCAGUGGCGAAGGCGACCACCUGGACUGAUACUGACACUGAGGUGCGAAAGCGUGGGGAGCAAACAGGAUUAGAUACCCACGUAGUCCCUGAGCGGGCUGGCAAGGCGCAU
RNAcentral lists this ribosomal RNA (472 nucleotides) under uncultured bacterium. RNAcentral describes it as "bacterial SSU rRNA". It matches the Rfam family "Bacterial small subunit ribosomal RNA", at positions 355 to 825 of the family's 1533-position model. The record is from RNAcentral.